AAGGUAGCACAAUCACUUGUUCUUUAAAUAAGGACUAGUAUGAACGGCAUCACGAGGAUUAAACUGUCUCCCCCACCUAAUCAAUGAAACUGACCUCCCCGUGAAGAAGCGGGGAUAAACAUAUAAGACGAGAAGACCCUAUGGAGCUUUAAACCUAACACCACUCACCUAGACCCAUUUCAUAAAAAACAGGUGAAGCUCGUGCACGUUUUCAGUUGGGGUGACUGCGGAGCAAAAUAAAACCUCCACGAUGUAAUCCUCUAAUCCAAGAACAACAAUUCAAAGAAUCAACAAAUUGACAUUAAUUGACCCAAAUAAUAAUUUGAUCAACGAACCAAGUUACCCUAGGGAUAACAGCGCAAUCCACUUCAAGAGCUCAUAUCGACAAGUGGGUUUACGACCUCGAUGUUGGAUCAGGGUAUCCCAGUGGUGCAGCCGCUACUAA
This 445-nucleotide ribosomal RNA is filed under the name Chiasmocleis albopunctata (white-spotted humming frog). RNAcentral describes it as "partial large subunit ribosomal RNA". It matches the Rfam family "Bacterial large subunit ribosomal RNA", at positions 1953 to 2568 of the family's 2925-position model. The record is from RNAcentral. Lineage: Eukaryota; Metazoa; Chordata; Amphibia; Anura; Microhylidae.